UAUAUACUCCCUCCGUCCGAAAUUACUUGUUGCAUAAAUGGAUGAAAAUGGAUGUAUUUAGAAUGAAAAUACAUCUAGAUACGUUCAUUUUUCCGACACGUAUUUUUUGACGAAGGAAGUAUAUU
This is a non-coding RNA of Triticum aestivum (bread wheat), 125 nucleotides long. Lineage: Eukaryota; Viridiplantae; Streptophyta; Magnoliopsida; Poales; Poaceae. The record is from Rfam.